CCUACGGGAGGCAGCAGUGAGGAAUAUUGGUCAAUGGACGAGAGUCUGAACCAGCCAAGUAGCGUGAAGGAUGACUGCCCUAUGGGUUGUAAACUUCUUUUAUGUGGGAAUAAAAUGUUCCACGUGUGGGAUUUUGUAUGUACCAUAUGAAUAAGGAUCGGCUAACUCCGUGCCAGCAGCCGCGGUAAUACGGAGGAUCCGAGCGUUAUCCGGAUUUAUUGGGUUUAAAGGGAGCGUAGGUGGAUUGUUAAGUCAGUUGUGAAAGUUUGCGGCUCAACCGUAAAAUUGCAGUUGAAACUGGCAGUCUUGAGUACAGUAGAGGUGGGCGGAAUUCGAGGUGUAGCGGUGAAAUGCUUAGAGAUCACGAAGAACUCCGAUUGCGAAGGCAGUUCACUGGACUGCAACUGACACUGAGGCUCGAAAGUGUGGGUAUCAAACAGGAUUAGAUACCCGGGUAGUC
RNAcentral lists this ribosomal RNA (460 nucleotides) under uncultured bacterium. RNAcentral's name for it is "partial 16S ribosomal RNA". It matches the Rfam family "Bacterial small subunit ribosomal RNA", at positions 338 to 795 of the family's 1533-position model. The record is from RNAcentral.